UAUUUGGUCGUAGACCCGAAACCAGGUGAUCUACCCUUGGUCAGGUUGAAGUUCAGGUAACACUGAAUGGAGGACCGAACCGACUUACGUUGAAAAGUGAGCGGAUGAACUGAGGGUAGCGGAGAAAUUCCAAUCGAACCUGGAGAUAGCUGGUUCUCUCCGAAAUAGCUUUAGGGCUAGCCUCAAGUGAUGAUUAUUGGAGGUAGAGCACUGUUUGGACGAGGGGCCCCUCUCGGGUUACCGAAUUCAGACAAACUCCGAAUGCCAAUUAAUUUAACUUGGGAGUCAGAACAUGGGUGAUAAGGUCCGUGUUCGAAAGGGAAACAGCCCAGACCACCAGCUAAGGUCCCAAAAUAUAUGUUAAGUGGAAAAGGAUGUGGCGUUGCCCAGACAACUAGGAUGUUGGCUUAGAAGCAGCCAUCAUUUAAAGAGUGCGUAAUAGCUCACUAGUCGAGUGACACUGCGCCGAAAAUGUACCGGGGCUAAACAUAUUACCGAAGCUGUGGAUUGUCCUUUGGACAAUGGUAGGAGAGCGUUCUAAGGGCGUUGAAGCAUGAUCGUAAGGACAUGUGGAGCGCUUAGAAGUGAGAAUGCCGGUGUGAGUAGCGAAAGACGGGUGAGAAUCCCGUCCACCGAUUGACUAAGGUUUCCAGAGGAAGGCUCGUCCGCUCUGGGUUAGUCGGGUCCUAAGCUGAGGCCGACAGGCGUAGGCGAUGGAUAACAGGUUGAUAUUCCUGUACCACCUAUAAUCGUUUUAAUCGAUGGGGGGACGCAGUAGGAUAGGCGAAGCGUGCGAUUGGAUUGCACGUCUAAGCAGUAAGGCUGAGUAUUAGGCAAAUCCGGUACUCGUUAAGGCUGAGCUGUGAUGGGGAGAAGACAUUGUGUCUUCGAGUCGUUGAUUUCACACUGCCGAGAAAAGCCUCUAGAUAGAAAAUAGGUGCCCGUACCGCAAACCGACACAGGUAGUCAAGAUGAGAAUUCUAAGGUGAGCGAGCGAACUCUCGUUAAGGAACUCGGCAAAAUGACCCCGUAACUUCGGGAGAAGGGGUGCUCUUUAGGGUUAACGCCCAGAAGAGCCGCAGUGAAUAGGCCCAAGCGACUGUUUAUCAAAAACACAGGUCUCUGCUAAACCGUAAGGUGAUGUAUAGGGGCUGACGCCUGCCCGGUGCUGGAAGGUUAAGAGGAGUGGUUAGCUUCUGCGAAGCUACGAAUCGAAGCCCCAGUAAACGGCGGCCGUAACUAUAACGGUCCUAAGGUAGCGAAAUUCCUUGUCGGGUAAGUUCCGACCCGCACGAAAGGCGUAACGAUUUGGGCACUGUCUCAACGAGAGACUCGGUGAAAUCAUAGUACCUGUGAAGAUGCAGGUUACCCGCGACAGGACGGAAAGACCCCGUGGAGCUUUACUGUAGCCUGAUAUUGAAAUUCGGCACAGCUUGUACAGGAUAGGUAGGAGCCUUUGAAACGUGAGCGCUAGCUUACGUGGAGGCGCUGGUGGGAUACUACCCUAGCUGUGUUGGCUUUCUAACCCGCACCACUUAUCGUGGUGGGAGACAGUGUCAGGCGGGCAGUUUGACUGGGGCGGUCGCCUCCUAAAAGGUAACGGAGGCGCUCAAAGGUUCCCUCAGAAUGGUUGGAAAUCAUUCAUAGAGUGUAAAGGCAUAAGGGAGCUUGACUGCGAGACCUACAAGUCGAGCAGGGUCGAAAGACGGACUUAGUGAUCCGGUGGUUCCGCAUGGAAGGGCCAUCGCUCAACGGAUAAAAGCUACCCCGGGGAUAACAGGCUUAUCUCCCCCAAGAGUUCACAUCGACGGGGAGGUUUGGCACCUCGAUGUCGGCUCAUCGCAUCCUGGGGCUGUAGUCGGUCCCAAGGGUUGGGCUGUUCGCCCAUUAAAGCGGUACGCGAGCUGGGUUCAGAACGUCGUGAGACAGUUCGGUCCCUAUCCGUCGUGGGCGUAGGAAAUUUGAGAGGAGCUGUCCUUAGUACGAGAGGACCGGGAUGGACAUACCUCUGGUGUACCAGUUGUCGUGCCAACGGCAUAGC
This 2041-nucleotide ribosomal RNA is filed under the name Staphylococcus aureus. Its description in RNAcentral is "partial 23S ribosomal RNA". It matches the Rfam family "Bacterial large subunit ribosomal RNA", at positions 700 to 2741 of the family's 2925-position model. The record is from RNAcentral. Lineage: Bacteria; Bacillati; Bacillota; Bacilli; Caryophanales; Staphylococcaceae.